AUGGAGACCCUGGGCGUGCUGCUGUUGCACCCCGUGAACGCCUACCUGGAGCAGGAGCUCGACCGCCGCUUCCGCCUCAUCCGCCUUUGGGACGCCCCUCCCGACGGCAGCGCCGAGUUCCUCCGCGCCAACGCCUCCGCCAUCCGCGCCGUCGUUGCCUACCCCGGCUACAGCGCCCUCGCCGCGCUCAUCGACGCGCUGCCGUCGCUCGAGAUCGUCCUGUCCUUCUCCGUGGGGAUCGACCACGUCGACCUCCCCAAGUGCCGCGAGCGCGGGAUCCGCGUCACCAACACCCCCGACGUCCUCACCGACGACGUCGCCGACCUCGCCGUCGGCCUCGCCGUCGCCGCGCUACGGAGAAUCCCGCAGGCCGACCGCUUCGUGCGCGCCGGCCUGUGGAAGGCCAAGGGGGACUACGCACUCACCACGCGAUUCAGUGGCAAAAGAGUGGGCAUUAUUGGGCUGGGCAGGAUAGGGCUUGCCAUUGCCACUCGAGUGGAGGCCUUUGAUUGCCCAGUUAACUACUACCAGAGAACAAAGAAGGACUACCCCAGUUACACCUAUUACCCUUCUGUAGUUGGAUUGGCAGCAAGCAGCGACGUCCUCGUGGUGGCUUGCUCAUUGAAUGAACAGACUCGCCACAUUGUCAACCGUGAGGUGAUCGAGGCACUCGGACCCAAGGGUGUGCUCAUAAACAUCGGGCGUGGCCCUCAUGUUGAUGAGCCUGAGCUUGUCUCUGCCCUCAUUGAGGGGCGCCUUGGUGGGGCAGGCCUCGAUGUGUUUGAGGAUGAGCCCAAUGUGCCCGAGUCCCUCUUCACACUUGACAAUGUUGUCCUGGUAUCACACAUGGGGAGCGGGACACACGAGACGCGCAAGGCGAUGGCGGACCUGGUUCUCGAUAACCUGGAGGCGCAUGUUCUGAAGAAACCACUGCUGACACCUGUUAUCUGA
RNAcentral lists this ribosomal RNA (951 nucleotides) under Triticum aestivum (bread wheat). RNAcentral's name for it is "partial small subunit ribosomal RNA". Lineage: Eukaryota; Viridiplantae; Streptophyta; Magnoliopsida; Poales; Poaceae. The record is from RNAcentral.